RNAcentral lists this ribosomal RNA (1243 nucleotides) under metagenome. RNAcentral's name for it is "bacterial LSU rRNA". It matches the Rfam family "Bacterial large subunit ribosomal RNA", at positions 1564 to 2816 of the family's 2925-position model. The record is from RNAcentral.
UGAAUACGAGAUGCUACGGCGUCGAAGCAGUCUAUGUCAUACUUCCAAGAAAAGCUCGCACUGUCAUAAACAAAUAAUGCCUGUACCAUAACCGACACAGGUGGGUAGGUAGAGUAUACUAAGGGGCGCGAGAUAACUCUCUCUAAGGAACUCGGCAAAAUGACUCCGUAACUUCGGGAGAAGGAGUGCCUUAUUUAUAAGGUUGCAAUAACAAGAUCCAAGCAACUGUUUAUCAAAAACACAGGUCUCCGCUAAGUCGUAAGACGAUGUAUGGGGGCUGACGCCUGCCCAGUGCCAGAAGGUUAAAGAAGUUGGUUAGCAUUCGCGAAGCUGAUAACUGAAGCCCUGGUGAACGGCGGCCGUAACAAUAACGGUCCUAAGGUAGCGAAAUUCCUUGUCGGGUAAGUUCCGACCCGCACGAAAGGCGUAAUGAUUUGGAUACUGUCUCGGAGAGGGGCUCGGUGAAAUAGACUUGUCUGUGAAGAUGCGGACUACCUGCACCAGGACAGAAAGACCCUAUGAAGCUUUACUGUAACUUGAGAUUGAAAUUGGACUUUACUUGCGCAGUAUAGGUGGUAGGCGUUGAUAAUAUUCUUGCGGGAUUAUUUGAGCCAUCAGUGAGAUACCACUCUUGUAAUGUUAGAUUUCUAACUUUGUAUCAUUAUCUGGUCAAAGGACAGUUUCAGGCGGGCAGUUUGACUGGGGCGGUCGCCUCCUAAACGGUAACGGAGGCGCACAAAGGUUUCCUCUGAACGGGUAGAAAUCGUAUCUAGAGUGUAAAGGCAUAAGGAAGCUUGACUGUGAGACCUACAAGUCGAGCAGGGACGAAAGUCGGUCUUAGUGAUCUGACGGUGCUGAGUGGAAAGGCCGUCACUCAACGGAUAAAAGUUACUCUAAGGAUAACAGGCUGAUCUCCCCCAAGAGUUCACAUCGACGGGGAGGUUUGGCACCUCGAUGUCGGCUCAUCGCAUCCUGGGGCGGUAGUACGUCCCAAGGGUUGGGCUGUUCGCCCAUGAAAGCGGUACGCGAGCUGGGUUCAGAACGUCGUGAGACAGUUCGGUCCAUAUCCGGUGUAGGCGUUAGAAUAUUGAGAGGAGCCUUCUUUAGUACGAGAGGACCGAGAAGGACAUACCUCUGGUGUACCAGUUAUCGUGCCAACGGUAAACGCUGGGUAGCUAUGUAUGGAGUGGAUAACCGCUGAAAGCAUCUAAGUGGGAAGCCCACCUCAAGAUAAGUAUUCUCU